AUGGCCACGGCGGCGCCUCACGUCAUGGUGCUGCCGCUCGCGGCGCAGGGCCACGUGACCCCGCUCAUGGAGCUGUCGCACCGCCUCGUGGAGCACGGCGUCGAGGUCACCUUCGUCUGCACCGAGCCCACCCACGCGCUCGUCCUCGGCGCCCUGCGACUGCGACAGGCCACGGUGGACGGGAUCCACCUGGUCUCCAUGCCGGACGGCCUGGCCGACGGGGACGACCGCCGGGACCUCGGCAAGGUCCUGGACGCGCUCGCCCGGUGCAUGCCGGGCUACGUGGAGGAGCUCAUCAAGGAGAAGAAGGUGACGUGGCUCGUCGCCGACGCCAACCUGGGGUCCUUGUGCUUCGAGGUCGCCAAGAAGCUCGGCGUUCGGGUCGCCUCCUUCUUCCCGGCGUCCGCUGCAUGCCUUGGGACCUUGUCCAGGAUUCCCCAGCUCAUAGAGGAUGGCUUCUUCGACGACAAAGGCGUCCCGAAGCGACGAGAGGCGGUCGAGCUGGCCCCCGAGAUGCCGCCGGUCUACACGUCGCACAUGCUGUGGAGCGUCGACGGCGGGCCCGAGGUGCAGCACGUGGCCUUCCAGCUGGUGUGCCGGAACACCGAGGCGGCCUGCCUCGCCGACGUCGUCGUCUGCAACUCGUUCCUCGAAGCGGAGGCCACGGCGUUCGAGCUGUUCCCCGACAUACUGCCCAUCGGCCCGCUGCUCGCUGACCCCGGAAAGCCCGUGGGGCAGUUCCUGCCGGAGGACACGAGGUGCCUCGGCUGGCUCGACGCGCAUCCCGACAGCUCCGUGGUGUACGUGGCGUUCGGCACCUCCACCGUCUUCGAGCCCCGCCAGUUCCGAGAGCUCGGCGAGGGGCUGGAGCUCACCGGCCGGCCCUUCCUGUGGGUGGUGCGCCCGGACUUCACGUCCGGCGCCGGCAUCAGCAAGGCCUGGUUCGACGAGUUCGAAGGGCGCGUCGCCGGCAAGGGCAUGAUCGUCAGCUGGUGCUCCCAGCAGCAGGUUCUGGCGCACCGGGCCGUGGCGUGCUUCGUGUCCCACUGCGGAUGGAACUCGACGAUGGAAGGGGUGAGGAACGGCGUGCCCUUCCUGUGCUGGUCCAGACUGAAGGUCGACCAGUACACCAACCGGAGUUACAUCUGCGACAUCUGGAGGACCGGCCUGGCCGUGUCGCCUGGGGAAGAUGGGGUCGUGACCAAGGAGGAGGUGAACACCAAGCUGGAACAGGUCAUGGGUGACCACGGGAUCGCAGAGAGGGCACGGGUGCUCAGGGACGCAGCUCGCAGGAGUCUCGGCGUGGGCGGCUCGUCGUAUGAGAAUUUCAAGAGAUUUAUUAGCCUCCUAAAGGAGUGA
RNAcentral lists this ribosomal RNA (1359 nucleotides) under Triticum aestivum (bread wheat). RNAcentral's name for it is "partial small subunit ribosomal RNA". Lineage: Eukaryota; Viridiplantae; Streptophyta; Magnoliopsida; Poales; Poaceae. The record is from RNAcentral.